This 496-nucleotide ribosomal RNA is filed under the name uncultured bacterium. Its description in RNAcentral is "partial 16S ribosomal RNA". It matches the Rfam family "Bacterial small subunit ribosomal RNA", at positions 30 to 523 of the family's 1533-position model. The record is from RNAcentral.
AUUGAACGCUGGCGGAAUGCUUUACACAUGCAAGUCGAACGGUAGAGGGGGCAACCCCUCGAGAGUGGCGAACGGGUGAGUAAUAUAUCGGAACGUGCCCAGUCGUGGGGGAUAACGUAGCGAAAGUUACGCUAAUACCGCAUACGAUCUAAGGAUGAAAGCGGGGGAUCGCAAGACCUCGCGCGAUUGGAGCGGCCGAGAUCAGAUUAGGUAGUUGGUUGGGUAAAGGCUCACCAAGCCAACGAUCUGUAGCUGGUCUGAGAGGACGACCAGGAACACUGGAACUGAGACACGGUCCAGACUCCUACGGGAGGGAGCAGUGGGAGAUGUUGGACAAUGGACGCAAGUCUGAUCCAGCCAUUCCGCGUGCAGGAUGAAGGCCCUCGGGUUGUAGACUGCUUUUGUACGGAACGAAGAGGUCUCUCUUAAUACGGGGGGCUCAUGACGGUACCGUAAGAAUAAGCACCGGCUAACUACGUGCCAGCAGCCGCAGUAA